Molecule: long non-coding RNA, 502 nt
Filed under: Cavia porcellus (domestic guinea pig)
Lineage: Eukaryota; Metazoa; Chordata; Mammalia; Rodentia; Caviidae
Description: lncRNA (ENSCPOG00000038045.1)
Source: RNAcentral
AUUAUUUAUAUAUUAUUUAAAAACACCUUACUCUGUACAUAUUCUUGCAUAUGUUUUUGGACAUAUUUGCCCAUCUUUAUAGGUUCCACGCAUGCACACCAUGCACAGUAAUCAAAUCACGGCAACAAGAGUUUUCCUAUCUUUGAACACUGGUCACUUUUAGGUGCUGGAGAAUUCGUGCCCUUCUCUCCUGGUCACUGUGAAAUGUGUCAUAGGUUGUUUUAGCUGCUGGUCACCUUGCCUUGCUAAAGAAGAACCAGAAGCGACUCCUCCUCUCCUAUCCCUUGCUGACCUUCUACCUGGCUCCUGGUUCUUUGAUUGCCUCCUGCUGUCCCCUGUUGGAGCUCUGUGCCCCACAUUGGCCAGGUUCAGCGCGACCCAAAGUCCUCAGACUCAUCUAGCAGACACCACUGAACAUCAAACCUCCCCGAGCUUACAGAUGUGGUAACAGAGGCUGAGAGAGGCCACGUGGCCCAGUACCCGCUCCGGCCACCUAUCUUCC